AUGCAUUUCAUUAUUCUC
RNAcentral lists this non-coding RNA (18 nucleotides) under Arabidopsis thaliana (thale cress). Lineage: Eukaryota; Viridiplantae; Streptophyta; Magnoliopsida; Brassicales; Brassicaceae. The record is from RNAcentral.